This 472-nucleotide ribosomal RNA is filed under the name uncultured bacterium. RNAcentral's name for it is "bacterial SSU rRNA". It matches the Rfam family "Bacterial small subunit ribosomal RNA", at positions 355 to 825 of the family's 1533-position model. The record is from RNAcentral.
UGGGGAAUUUUGGACAAUGGGCGAAAGCCUGAUCCAGCAAUGCCGCGUGAGUGAAGAAGGCCUUCGGGUUGUAAAGCUCUUUUGUCAGGGAAGAAACGGUGAGAGCUAAUAUCUCUUGCUAAUGACGGUACCUGAAGAAUAAGCACCGGCUAACUACGUGCCAGCAGCCGCGGUAAUACGUAGGGUGCAAGCGUUAAUCGGAAUUACUGGGCGUAAAGCGUGCGCAGGCGGUUUUGUAAGUCUGAUGUGAAAUCCCCGGGCUCAACCUGGGAAUUGCAUUGGAGACUGCAAGGCUAGAAUCUGGCAGAGGGGGGUAGAAUUCCACGUGUAGCAGUGAAAUGCGUAGAUAUGUGGAGGAACACCGAUGGCGAAGGCAGCCCCCUGGGUCAAGAUUGACGCUCAUGCACGAAAGCGUGGGGAGCAAACAGGAUUAGAUACCCUAGUAGUCCCUGAGCGGGCUGGCAAGGCGCAU